Long non-coding RNA from Centropristis striata (black sea bass), 1905 nucleotides. RefSeq lists it as uncharacterized. The transcript is spliced from 4 exons. Lineage: Eukaryota; Metazoa; Chordata; Actinopteri; Perciformes; Serranidae. The record is from RefSeq and is a predicted model, not a curated record.
UAAAGGCUGCAAAAUGGGGAGUGAACGUACACUGAUAUGCCCCAUUACAUGCUACAGCCCCACACCUGUCUUUACAUACAACCACGUGUUGGCUGUAAGUAAGCACGAUAAAAAUCAAAGAAAUAAGAACUUAUUGUUACUGUCCUGAGCAUCUUUUGUAAGACUGACUUCAGGAAAAGCUGCAGUUACAGGAGUCUAUAGUGUGAACCCCCCCUGGUUUGGCUGUGGCAGGACCUGCAAAGAUCAGUGACAUGACAUGUGAAGAGGCACCCGGGAUCUGCAUCUUAAAGACUCGCGAAUUGUUGUCAAAGGCCCAGUUGCUGAUGCGUGACAUAGAGGAGCUGCUGGACAGCUGUACACCAAAGGGUCCCUCUGUUCAGAGACAGCGCAGAAUGAUUCAGCAGGACUGUCAGGCCAACAUAAAGGAGGAUGGAGAGACCUUGGUCAUAGAGGACUUCAGGUUUGACAGUGUGGUCAGCAGGGAAGACCUGAGGAGGCUGUGAUAACAGGCUGGUGGAGGAGCAGGAGAGCGACACAUGAGUGAUGGCUACUUUAGUGGUUUCAUCACACAAAGUCAACAAGGUCAAACGACUGGGAGAGGUAACAAUGGCAGAUAGAGAGCCAACAUAUGACAUGAUUUCAAAUGGUGGGAGAACAUUGACAUGUAGUUCUUUACAACAGAGAGACAAAGCAGUAUGACACCAUGUCAUAUAGACGAUAUAAACAAUUUUUACAGUAGAUAAAUGUUCCAACUGUUCAUAAAUGUUAAUGUUAGACAUGAGUUAUUUGUUCAUUGUUCUGUUUUUGAUCUUGAAGAACACAGUUUGUCAUAUUUUUGGCAGCGUUUGAGUUUCCAUUUCAGAAUAUGAACCUACAGUUGGCUUUGAGUGUUGUUUUUAUGAUAAUGCUACAGUAUAAAGCAGGGAAUAUUAUAAGUUAUAGAUAGAAUGCCAUUGUUUAGGCUAAUGGUGAUGUCUUUGCAUUAUUUAUUCCACUUCCGUUAGUCUUGUCCAACCCUGCGUAGCACAUUUUGCAGUUUCAGCAGCGUGAUCCGAAUGCAACAGCAGCUCACAUCCAGUUAUGCCUUUAUUUCAUUUAACGUUGUUGCUUUUAACUACAGUGUGGGUCACGCACAGCUUGAAUGUCCUGUUUACAAUAAUACACUGUAGGUAAGAUGGGGACAUAGCUUUCUCUCUGAUUACACAGAGCUGUUGGGCUAUUCCUGUUUGUACCCUACUGUAGAUCAUCUCGCUCCCUAAAAGCACCGCUAGUGCUCUAACUACAGUAAAGUUUCACAGCCCACCAUGCUUUUUAGUGCAGUAGUCCUGAAGAAAAACAGCGAUAUAAAUACACAUGACAGAACUAUACUUUGGUCUCGAAGAAGUCUUUGAAUAACUUAAAGUCAAGAUAUUUAAAAGCUCAUAAAUCGACUACACUGCAUUGGGGGGUGACUUUUUAAUUUAGUCUGUUCCUCUUUAAUAUGCUGCUCUUCCUCACUCCUCUACAGUGUGUCCUGAUAGGUCAGGUAGAUUAUUCAUCGUGUCUUUACUCAUAUGCCGAUUUUGGUGGGAAAACUGGUAUUAUAAAACGAUUUGUGUGACUUCAAAAUGUAUUCAUAAACUUGUGAAACCGCUUGCAUUACAUGAUAGCAUCGAUUCACAGUAUUUGAUACAUGUCAUACUCCAAGUAUUGUGAUACUGUUGUUAUCAGCUCUAAAGGGGAAUAAAAGAUGUCUGGUUAACUUUGCUUUUUCAUAUGUUUUAACCAAAAUUGUAUCUAAAUAAUCUUUCAAAUUUAAUUUCUAGUGCAGACUGUAGCAGAUAUGAAACAAUAGCAAAUGGCCAUCUUAUGAAUGUUGACCCGAAUGUGUCAAGGGGCCCCAAAUGCAGUAUCAGUGAGAACAAU